AAGGAAAGAAGAUGUUGAAUAGUUCUAUAAAACAAUUCUCACAAGUUCAAAGUAGUUUUUAUUAAACGACCAACCAAUGUUAAACCCUUCUUGAAAGUAGUAUAUAUAUCUAGAAAGAGUGAAGACAUUAUUAGGUCCAAUGUGUGUUCAGGAUGAUCGCAAUAUUUACGAAAAUAAGUAGAUGCUGCAUGACUGCUAACCAGACAACUAUCCACAAAAACAAAGGUCCUUGAUUAUAUAUACAUAUAUGUUAUAUAAAUGUAUAUAUUACCCUCAUAAACCAUUACAUUAAUACUUAUUUACUCAGGAA
This 310-nucleotide long non-coding RNA is filed under the name Mytilus galloprovincialis (Mediterranean mussel). The record is from RNAcentral. Lineage: Eukaryota; Metazoa; Mollusca; Bivalvia; Mytilida; Mytilidae.